UGUCCAUUGCCUGACAGGAUUCCUGUGGAGU
Molecule: non-coding RNA, 31 nt
Filed under: Rattus norvegicus (Norway rat)
Lineage: Eukaryota; Metazoa; Chordata; Mammalia; Rodentia; Muridae
Source: RNAcentral